This 450-nucleotide ribosomal RNA is filed under the name uncultured bacterium. RNAcentral describes it as "partial 16S ribosomal RNA". It matches the Rfam family "Bacterial small subunit ribosomal RNA", at positions 354 to 796 of the family's 1533-position model. The record is from RNAcentral.
GUGGGGAAUUUUGGACAAUGGGCGCAAGCCUGAUCCAGCAAUGCCGCGUGCAGGAAGAAGGCCUUCGGGUUGUAAACUGCUUUUGUACGGAACGAAACGGUCCGGGUUAAUACCCUGGGCUAAUGACGGUACCGUAAGAAUAAGCACCGGCUAACUACGUGCCAGCAGCCGCGGUAAUACGUAGGGUGCAAGCGUUAAUCGGAAUUACUGGGCGUAAAGCGUGCGCAGGCGGUUUUGUAAGACAGGCGUGAAAUCCCCGGGCGCAACCUGGGAAUUGCGCUUGUGACUGCAAGGCUGGAGUGCGGCAGAGGGGGAUGGAAUUCCGCGUGUAGCAGUGAAAUGCGUAGAUAUGCGGAGGAACACCGAUGGCGAAGGCAAUCCCCUGGGCCUGCACUGACGCUCAUGCACGAAAGCGUGGGGAGCAAACAGGAUUAGAUACCCGUGUAGUCC